Non-coding RNA from Rhopilema esculentum, 996 nucleotides. The record is from RefSeq and is a predicted model, not a curated record. NCBI's taxonomy places the organism in Eukaryota, Metazoa, Cnidaria, Scyphozoa, Rhizostomeae, Rhizostomatidae.
AAAUGGGACAGCUCUUUGCCAAGGCAGUGGAUGGUGAUUGGUGCCUGGGUGGUCAUGGUCCUCAUCUUGGCUGCUAGUUCUUUGCUUUUUGGCGACUGAAAUGAAAAUAUCAAAUAGGACAUCUGAAAAGACACCAAAGGGACCAUUCAACAGGACAAAAGAACCAGCCACCCUGCCAACACCCAAAUCCAAGGCAACCCACAACUGCAGAUACAGGAAACCACAAACUAGCAACCCAUGGCAAACAAAGCCACAAAAGGCCUCCAGAACCCAGCCGCCAGCCUGCCCAUCAUGCACCCAGGAAACAGACCCCAAGAGCAAACAUGAGCACAGACAUGCUCUGCCAGCUCCCAAAAACCAUCCCCAGAAUGCACAACAAGCGAGCCAGCCACCGGAGCCCAAGGAAAAAACCCCACAGCUCCACCCAUCCCAAGCCACCAGCCAAGAGAACCCAUACCCACAAGCACAAAUCACCGAGCCCAGGCACCCACAAAACCCAUCCUCGUUUAACAUGACAAAAACUAGUAGGCGGAUGGUGACAGUAUAUGAUAUUCACUUUUCCAGACUUCAGUAAUUAGUUUCAAACAGGAAGGCUUAAAUUUUUUGGCAAAAACUACUAACAGAUGGUGAUUGUUUUAUAUCCACAGGAAUAUCCAUCACAGGAAUAUCCACAGGAACUUUGGGCCAAGGUUUUUGGGCAGAGGAAAUAACUUGUUUGUACUAAUCUUGAUUCAGUCUGUUUAAAAAUCAUGAAAAUAAACUCUUUGCCUUGCCUACAAGCUUGAUAAUUGGGGUCAACAAUGAUAAUUCUAAAACAUCAAAUAAAAGUGGGGUCCAUCAUGCUUGAGGUGCCCAAAAUCCCAUUGCAGGCCUAUGAGUUACUGUUGCUGCAAAACUUGUUUCUAAAGAUAUCAUGAAAUGUCUGCGUACGUAACCUCUAGAAUGCUUUUCAAUGUGACUUUUCCUUUGUUGAUAACACAAAACAUGACAUUUUUU